This 450-nucleotide ribosomal RNA is filed under the name Bacillus sp. 32L. Its description in RNAcentral is "bacterial SSU rRNA". It matches the Rfam family "Bacterial small subunit ribosomal RNA", at positions 225 to 667 of the family's 1533-position model. Lineage: Bacteria; Bacillati; Bacillota; Bacilli; Caryophanales; Bacillaceae. The record is from RNAcentral.
AUGGGCCCGCGGUGCAUUAGCUAGUUGGUGAGGUAACGGCUCACCAAGGCCACGAUGCAUAGCCGACCUGAGAGGGUGAUCGGCCACACUGGGACUGAGACACGGCCCAGACUCCUACGGGAGGCAGCAGUAGGGAAUCUUCCGCAAUGGACGAAAGUCUGACGGAGCAACGCCGCGUGAGUGAUGAAGGCUUUCGGGUCGUAAAACUCUGUUGUUAGGGAAGAACAAGUACAAGAGUAACUGCUUGUACCUUGACGGUACCUAACCAGAAAGCCACGGCUAACUACGUGCCAGCAGCCGCGGUAAUACGUAGGUGGCAAGCGUUAUCCGGAAUUAUUGGGCGUAAAGCGCGCGCAGGCGGUUUCUUAAGUCUGAUGUGAAAGCCCACGGCUCAACCGUGGAGGGUCAUUGGAAACUGGGGAACUUGAGUGCAGAAGAGAAAAGCGGAAU